Non-coding RNA from Phasianus colchicus (ring-necked pheasant), 1003 nucleotides. The record is from the annotation of a RefSeq genome assembly. NCBI's taxonomy places the organism in Eukaryota, Metazoa, Chordata, Aves, Galliformes, Phasianidae.
GGCUGGCGGGGCUGGCCGCGGUGCUCCUGGGUGCGCGGGGCUGCCGCCGGCGGGGACGGACUGCGGGGGCUGAGGGGAGCCGGGGGUGGCCGGGGACGCUCUCUCAUCUGUCCGUCUGGCUUCUCUCCGACAACUUGCACCUCUCUCUGCUCCUACAUGAAAAUUCAGUGGGAGAAAAUGGAUUUUUUGAGUUUGCUGCUUCUUUUCUUCUCGGCAGUGGCUGUGAGCAGGGCGCAGGUGCAGCAGGAGCCGGCGUCAGAGACCAGAGAAGGCAUCGGCAUCAACAUCACCUGCUCACACCCCAGUAUACUGUCCAACGACUACAUCCACUGGUACCGUCAGCUCCCAAGCCGAGGACCCGCAUUCGUCGUGAACGCUUUUAAAGGAUCCACGGAGGUGCCAGAGCCGGAGGGGCGGCUGUGGGUGUCGGCAGACCGCCGUUCCAGCGCCCUGUGGCUCGCCCGGCCCCGGCUCGGCGACGCGGCCGUGUAUUACUGCGCCGUGGGCACACGGGAAGCGAAGCCGGGGCUGCGGCCGGGCACGAACCGCUUUGGGCGGGGCGGGGGCACAGUGCCGUCCGGGCCCGCAGGGGGCGCUGCCUGCAUGGCCGCCAAACUCCAUCCUGACAGGGUGCACCUCGCUGAGUUCUCGAGAAAAAUGAACACCGCACCCAUAGCAGCCUCUGAAGCCAAUUUUGGGUAGACAGAGUUGCGUUUGAGGUGGUCAGGACAGCAAAACUGUGUUUGACAUCAGAGUGACAUCCCCGCAGUUCUAUUCCAUCUCCUACUCUCUUGUCCUUCCCCAGUGCAGCAUAUAUGAGAGCGGUCCGAGCACUGUUCACAAGAACCUGUAGGGUUGCUUGUUCCCGUGGCCUUCCACACAGUCACAGCUUUUCCUGUGAGCACUGCAGAGGCUGUGUUCUCUCUCUGCCCUCUACCUGAGAGGGCAGUUGUGUGCAGAGACACUGCAAGUCAAAGACCUAUAACCACUUGUUCGGUCUUAG